AUGUCUGCGGAGCUCUCUCAUUUCGCUCCACACGGACUCAGAGCGGAAGUCGCUCCUAGUCCGCGCCUUUGCUUUUCUCCACGCGGCAGGGGUCUGCACCGGGUGCCCCCCUUCCGGCCACGCGAGCCUCCUCGCCGCAGUGUCGUCCUCCAGAAGGGUGUUGACAGGGUCCCGGACUUCAACCUGUACCCGCCCCCUUCCCGCCCAGCUCUUCGGAGAUGCGCGGCUCGCGAGGGGCUGCCAGCUGUUUUGUUCAUGACUGCUCAUAGGAGGCCCUUGACAAAGAUGGUGAAACCGAGGGGAAGGGAGCAGUGGCCACACAACGUUUCGCGGGGAGCGCAGCAAAGCCUCUGCGAUGGACCCCGUGCUUCGGCUACACCAGACCAGGUAAAGCCUUUAACCCGUGCUCUGCACUCUUCCUGGGAUGUCUUCCCCCUCUUCUUUGCCUGCUGAAAUACUUAGCUUUCAAGGCAUGGCUCUGAACCUGCCUCCUCCAGGAAGCCUUCCUUCAUCCUUCUCAGAUGUCCUCUCACCCCCUUUUCUGAGCACUGAGAGCAUUUUAGCUGGCCCCCCUUUUUGCUACAUGUCCCUUUCCCAACAUAAUAGUUGCUAUUUUCUUCAGAUAUAUAGUCCAGGAAAUUUACAUGCAGCUUAUUUCCUUCCCUUCCUUCUUUUUUUUUUUUUUUUUUUUUUGGCUAUUUCUUGGGCUGCACUCGCGGCAUAUGGAGGUUCCCAGGCUAAGGGUCUAAUCAGAGCUGUAGCCACCGGCCUACGCCAGAGCCACAGCAACGCGGGAUCCGAGCCGCGUCUGCAACCUACACCACAGCUCAUGGCAACUCCGGCUCGUUAACCCACUGAGCAAGGGCAGGACCGAACCCAAAACCUCAUGGUUCCUAGUCGGAUUCAUUAACCACUGCGCCACGACGGGAACUCCCCUUCCUUCUUUUCUUUCCUUUCCUUCUCUUUUUUUUUUUUUGCAGCAACGCUGGAUCCUUAACCUACUGAGCAAGACCAGGGAUCAAACUUGCAUCCUCAUGGACACUAUGUCAGAUUCUUGACCCACUGAACCACAAUGGGAACUCCUUUUCUUUUUUUUUUUUUCUUUCUUUUUUAAAAAAUUCUUAUUUUGCCGAUGGGCAACCUGAGGAGCAGAGAAGUUAAGCAACCUACUCAAGGUUGCACAGCUAACGGGUAGCAGAGCCUAGCUACAAAAGCAGUCUGGGGCCAUCGCCCACACACCUAACCAUCUUCUGUAUUUCCUUUUCAUCCCAGGACCUGGCACAUUGUCUCGGACCUAAUAGGUAUGCGGUUCAAUACAUAUUUAUUAAAUGAAGGAGCAGGUCUAAUAAGAAAAUAAAAUUUGCCUAUAAUCCUUUCA
This 1378-nucleotide long non-coding RNA is filed under the name Sus scrofa (pig). Its description in RNAcentral is "lncRNA (ENSSSCG00070030040.1)". Lineage: Eukaryota; Metazoa; Chordata; Mammalia; Artiodactyla; Suidae. The record is from RNAcentral.